ACGCUGGCGGAAUGCUUUACACAUGCAAGUCGAGCGGCAGCACGGAGAGCUUGCUCUCUGGUGGCGAGUGGCGAACGGGUGAGUAAUAUAUCGGAACGUGUCCAAUAAUGGGGGAUAACGAGUCGAAAGAUUCGCUAAUACCGCAUACGCCCUACGGGGGAAAGCAGGGGAUCGUAAGACCUUGCGUUAAUGGAGCGGCCGAUAUCUGAUUAGCUUGUUGGUGAGGUAAAGGCUCACCAAGGCGACGAUCAGUAGCUGGUUUGAGAGAACGACCAGCCACACUGGAACUGAGACACGGUCCAGACUCCUACGGGAGGCAGCAGUGGGGAAUUUUGGACAAUGGGGGCAACCCUGAUCCAGCCAUUCCGCGUGAGUGAAGAAGGCCUUCGGGUUGUAAAGCUCUUUCGCAAGGGAAGAAAACUUAUGAUCGAAUAAAUCAUGAGGUUGACGGUACCUUGAUAAGAAGCACCGGCUAACUACGUGCCAGCAGCCGCGGUAAUACGUAGGGUGCGAGCGUUAAUCGGAAUUACUGGGCGUAAAGCGUGCGCAGGCGGUUUUGUAAGUCGGAUGUGAAAUCCCCGGGCUCAACCUGGGAACUGCGUUCGAAACUGCAAGGCUAGAGUGUGUCAGAGGGGGGGUAGAAUUCCACGUGUAGCAGUGAAAUGCGUAGAGAUGUGGAGGAAUACCAAUGGCGAAGGCAGCCCCCUGGGAUAACACUGACGCUCAUGCACGAAAGCGUGGGGAGCAAACAGGAUUAGAUACCCUGGUAGUCCACGCCCUAAACGAUGUCAACUAGUUGUUGGUAGAGUAAAAUCUAUGAGUAACGUAGCUAACGCGUGAAGUUGACCGCCUGGGGAGUACGGUCGCAAGAUUAAAACUCAAAGGAAUUGACGGGGGCCCGCACAAGCGGUGGAUUAUGUGGAUUAAUUCGAUGCAACGCGAAAAACCUUACCUGGCCUUGACAUGUACCGAAUUGAGCAGAGAUGUUCAAGUGCUCGAAAGAGAACGGUAACACAGGUGCUGCAUGGCUGUCGUCAGCUCGUGUCGUGAGAUGUUGGGUUAAGUCCCGCAACGAGCGCAACCCUUGCCAUUAAUUGCCAUCAUUUAGUUGGGCACUUUAAUGGGACUGCCGGUGACAAACCGGAGGAAGGUGGGGAUGACGUCAAGUCCUCAUGGCCCUUAUGGCCAGGGCUUCACACGUAAUACAAUGGUCGGUACAGAGGGUUGCCAACCCGCGAGGGGGAGCCAAUCCCAGAAAGCCGAUCGUAGUCCGGAUUGUAGUCUGCAACUCGACUGCAUGAAGUCGGAAUCGCUAGUAAUCGCGGAUCAGCAUGUCGCGGUGAAUACGUUCCCGGGCCUUGUACACACCGCCCGUCACACCAUGGGAGUGGGUUUUACCAGAAGUAGUUAGUCUAACCGCAAGGGAGACGAUUACCACGGUAGGAUUCAUGACUGGGGUGAAGUCAUAACAAGGUAACCGUA
Molecule: ribosomal RNA, 1482 nt
Filed under: uncultured bacterium
Lineage: Bacteria
Description: bacterial SSU rRNA
Rfam family: Bacterial small subunit ribosomal RNA
Source: RNAcentral